Onychostoma macrolepis is the source of this 1147-nucleotide long non-coding RNA. RefSeq lists it as uncharacterized. Lineage: Eukaryota; Metazoa; Chordata; Actinopteri; Cypriniformes; Cyprinidae. The record is from RefSeq and is a predicted model, not a curated record. The transcript is spliced from 3 exons.
ACUUAACAAGGACAGGAAGCAAACCAAAUAUGGACACAAGAGGGCGGGAACACAAGUCACGCAACAGAGGACUGACACCAUGCAGUAAUGUCAUCAUUAAGAAGCAAAACCAUGGAUGUUGUAAAUGCUGUAAAAAUGAUCGUACUACUCUUUUUGCUGGGCUGCAGGGUGACCCAGAUACAGCUGGCUCCAGAGCUUUUGGCAAGGACUGCUUUUUUUCUAAGGAAACUCUGUGGUUGCUGCUCAGAAGGAGGAGAGACAGGAUAAAAUGGGAGAGGCGAGAAGGGAGCAGGAAAGUACAUUUGACCUGGGACUCGAUCUCAAGCUGUCUGAGGCACAUUUUUCAAACACUAUAAGGGGAUUGUAUAAGUGUAAGAUGUUUAGUAUGAAACUAAUAGGUUCUUUUAAACUCUGUCAAUCGGUCCUUUGUUACAAUUGUAACACUGGUGUAGCAGUUCAUGGUUGUUGCAUAACCUUUUUUUGGCACUGAUCUUGUACUGCAUUUGUCUUGUACUGCCCGUUUUGCAUGCAUGUAAAUGGUGAUGUUUUCUUCUUUUAAAUAAUUGUGCAACAAAACACUGUGUAGACUAAGCAACUUCAAAUAUGACAAUGCAUGUACUGUGUUUUAUUGAAAUGGUGUGGAUGAAUGAGAUAGAAGCUACCCAAAAAAGGAGAUAUCUUUAACAUCUCAACACUCUCACAAUGCUUUCCAGCUCAUCUGGUACAGUGAUGCCCUUGGGUUGCCAGGUCUACAUGUCAAAACUAUAUACAAAUACAUAUUUUAAAGUAGCGACGCGCGAUAUCAUAAAUAAUUUCAGGAGUCAAAGAACAUAUCAUAGACAUAUUCUAUCUAAACUCUAGCCGAAAUAUACCGUAUAAAGUGAAUAUAUGAAUCUGAUGUUGUUUUUAUGAUUUUAACCAUGCCAUAAGAGUCUGAAUUCACUCGUAGAUAUUACAGAUACUUUAUUUUCUUGUCAAAGGUGAAGCAAAGCGGACUACAUUUGAGGUCACUGUUACUGUUAGUGGUAUAAUCAGCUUCAUCUUCAUGAUGUUAAUCAUUUAUUUGUUGUGUUGUUGUUGUUUUGUUUUGUUUUUUUCUUUUUUCAUAUUCUUUAUCGAUUUUUGUACACAUGAAGUUCUUCUGUUG